RNAcentral lists this ribosomal RNA (252 nucleotides) under uncultured bacterium. RNAcentral describes it as "partial 16S ribosomal RNA". It matches the Rfam family "Bacterial small subunit ribosomal RNA", at positions 524 to 776 of the family's 1533-position model. The record is from RNAcentral.
UGCGUAGGGGGCUAGCGUUAUCCGGAAUUACUGGGCGUAAAGGGUGCGUAGGUGGUUUCUUAAGUCAGAGGUGAAAGGCUACGGCUCAACCGUAGUAAGCCUUUGAAACUGAGAAACUUGAGUGCAGGAGAGGAGGGUAGAAUUCCUAGUGUAGCGGUGAAAUGCGUAGAUAUUAGGAGGAACACCGGUGGCGAAGGCGGGUCUCUGGGCAACUACUGACGCUGAGGAGCGAAAGCGUGGGGAGCGAACAGG